AACUUCCGCUUCCGGUUCCUAGCGUUAACUGCGACCGGGGUUCAGCGCUCGGGUGAGGAGCUGGUGGCGUCGGCAGGUUCGAGGCGAUUCGAGAUGAAAUCCACGAUGGGAUGAACCUGGAGCUUUAUUAUCAAUAGAUGAGAAUCCUCAUCUUCCUGCCCCGCUUUCCUCUCCCAUCCUCAUCCCCCACACUGGGAUAGAUGCUUGUUUGUAAAAACUCACCUUAAUAAAGACUUAGAUGUUGCUUUGU
This 250-nucleotide long non-coding RNA is filed under the name Homo sapiens (human). RNAcentral's name for it is "HSALNT0255591". The record is from RNAcentral. Lineage: Eukaryota; Metazoa; Chordata; Mammalia; Primates; Hominidae.